RNAcentral lists this antisense RNA (151 nucleotides) under Klebsiella quasipneumoniae. Its description in RNAcentral is "sok antitoxin". It matches the Rfam family "sok antitoxin (CssrC)". From Rfam's summary of the family: Also identified in Shigella as CssrC. Lineage: Bacteria; Pseudomonadati; Pseudomonadota; Gammaproteobacteria; Enterobacterales; Enterobacteriaceae. The record is from RNAcentral.
GGGUGCUUGAGACUGUGUGUCUCAGGUAUUCAGCGGGAGACAGACAGAGAAAAGCCCCACCUGAUAGUCAUCAAAGUGAGGCUCCCCUAAUGCAUGAACACCAUAAGCGUAGCCUCUUACUUGUUUAAAAUCAACAUGGUAGGCGAGGAGU